UACGGAGGGUGCAAGCGUUAUCCGGAUUUAUUGGGGUAGGCUGAUUUGUAAGUCAGUGGUGAAAUCUCACAGCUUAACUGUGAAACUGCCAUUGAUACUGCAAGUCUUGAGUGUUGUUGAAGUAGCUGGAAUAAGUAGUGUAGCGGUGAAAUGCAUAGAUAUUACUUAGAACACCAAUUGCGAAGGCAGGUUACUAAGCAACAACUGACGCUGAUGGACGAAAGCGUGGGGAGCGAACAGG
Molecule: ribosomal RNA, 241 nt
Filed under: uncultured Chryseobacterium sp.
Lineage: Bacteria; Pseudomonadati; Bacteroidota; Flavobacteriia; Flavobacteriales; Weeksellaceae
Description: partial 16S ribosomal RNA
Rfam family: Bacterial small subunit ribosomal RNA
Source: RNAcentral